UUUUUCAUGAGAGUUUGAUCCUGGCUCAGGACGAACGCUGGCGGCGUGCCUAAUACAUGCAAGUCGAGCGAAGAAACAACAGGUGCU
RNAcentral lists this ribosomal RNA (87 nucleotides) under Granulicatella balaenopterae. RNAcentral describes it as "16S rRNA. Bacterial SSU". It matches the Rfam family "Bacterial small subunit ribosomal RNA", at positions 1 to 85 of the family's 1533-position model. The record is from RNAcentral. Lineage: Bacteria; Bacillati; Bacillota; Bacilli; Lactobacillales; Carnobacteriaceae.